UUCAGCAAAGCAUAAACAACAAUUAACAGCAAGGAUCAACGAACCCCAACUUCAAACACAGGAUUGAUAUGCAUCAGCCCAAAAGAGAAAAGUUCCACUCGAACCAAACCUAGCAGACUCAGAAUCAGACUCUAAAACCAAUAUUCAAAUCAUUUUCAAACUCCACAAUGAAGAACUAUAUUUUCUGGCAGAAAAAUAAGUAAAGUUCAAUGAAAUAGUAGAUUUUUGUUUUUCUUUUGUAUUUUUCUGAAAUCUAAUCUCUAAU
Molecule: long non-coding RNA, 265 nt
Filed under: Nicotiana benthamiana
Lineage: Eukaryota; Viridiplantae; Streptophyta; Magnoliopsida; Solanales; Solanaceae
Description: long non-coding RNA (NBEN_LNC034319)
Source: RNAcentral